GUCCCGGUAGCUCAGUUGGUAGAGCACCAGUUGGUAGAGCCUGUGCAAAAGCGCCUAGCAAUAACUGCCAGGGGUCGCAGGAUCGAAGCCUGCCCGUGAUU
Non-coding RNA from Meloidogyne enterolobii, 101 nucleotides. Lineage: Eukaryota; Metazoa; Nematoda; Chromadorea; Rhabditida; Meloidogynidae. The record is from the annotation of a GenBank genome assembly.